UCGGACUGGAGUCUGCAACCCGACUCCACGAAGCUGGAUUCGCUAGUAAUCGCGCAUCAGCCACGGCGCGGUGAAUACGUUCCCGGGCCUUGUACACACCGCCCGUCACACCAUGGAAGUCUGCAAUGCCCGAAGCCGGUGGCCUAACCACUUAUGUGGAAGGAGCCGUCUAAGGCAGGGCAGAUGACUGGGGUGAAGUCGUAACAAGGUAAC
RNAcentral lists this ribosomal RNA (213 nucleotides) under uncultured bacterium. Its description in RNAcentral is "partial 16S ribosomal RNA". It matches the Rfam family "Bacterial small subunit ribosomal RNA", at positions 1293 to 1500 of the family's 1533-position model. The record is from RNAcentral.